GCUGAUGGUUGGGUGGGGGGAAGGAAAAAUAGCAACUUAGCAGACAAGUUUACCAGGUAAGGAGUGAGUGGGUGGGGAGGGUUCCCGCGGGCCAUGUGGGCGGUACAGCCUUGUAUUCUGGCACAGCCAGGAUUAAUUGCUUUGGGAGGGGGUCCUUUGGAGGUGACAUUUCUCUGCAGCCCACCAAAAUUUUCUCACGGACCACUAGUGGGCCAUGGCCCACCGGUUGGCAACCACUGCUCUAUAGGACAGAGCAAUGAAAACAAUAGCGGGAAACAUAUAUGGAAGUCACAAUUGGCAGCAGUAAGCCACGAUACCUGGCCUUUCCCCCAAUUCCCCCCAAAUGCUAUGCACAGCUGGGAUGCAUACUUUUUCAGGAGUUUGGUGGGGACAGUUUUGGAAACCAUUUCAGCUGACGUCUUUAGUUCAUUAUUUGCUGGAAGCAGAAUGGACAAAGAAGGGAGGAGACAAACAUUCAUACCGUUGUCUCAUUUUGGAGAGAAAGGAAUCUUCUGCCCACUGCCAGUUCUCAUCUCUAUUUUUUUUUUUUUUUUUUUUGUGAAACGAAACAUGCAUCAGCUAGAUUUCACCAUGCCUCUUAUUUUCUGCAGGAUCACAGACAUGUCCAAGGCAUCCAUGAGUAGCCGGCCUGAGUCUGGCUAUGAAAACAUGGACCAUUUCUCUAUCAAUGUAGAUCACGUUGCUGAAAUGCUGAGAACUAUUGAAUUUCAGACAGAUAUUUCUGGAGAAGAAACUGAGUCUGAAGGAAUUAUCGCAGAAGGAAGUGUUGAAGCUGGAGAGGAAGACCAUCCAGAAGGAUCAGAGGGGCCUGAAGGAGCAGAAGAUGGAGAGAACCUGUCUCGAUUCAGACCAAAGCCACCUAAUAUACCACCUCGGGGACAACACUGAAAAGUCACUUUGAAGACGGAAGCAGUUGGAGAAUGUUCCGGUCAGCCCCAUCCCAUGCUUCUUCCUCCACUCCAGCAGACGUUUUUCUUGCUUCCUACUAAAUUUUCUUUCUCUGUGCAUCUUUUUCUUGCUUCCUUCUAUGCUCUUUUUCUCCCCAUACCAUUUGGCUUUUUAAUAUAUGGAGAUAAUAAAGUUGUGAGUUAUUUUUGCUAACAGCAAUUCUGGCAAGGUUCGUUGGGUGAGAGAGAUUCUGUUGG
RNAcentral lists this long non-coding RNA (1166 nucleotides) under Pseudonaja textilis. Its description in RNAcentral is "lncRNA (ENSPTXG00000010438.1)". The record is from RNAcentral. Lineage: Eukaryota; Metazoa; Chordata; Lepidosauria; Squamata; Elapidae.